RNAcentral lists this ribosomal RNA (575 nucleotides) under uncultured bacterium. RNAcentral describes it as "partial 16S ribosomal RNA". It matches the Rfam family "Bacterial small subunit ribosomal RNA", at positions 37 to 624 of the family's 1533-position model. The record is from RNAcentral.
UGGCGGCGUGCCUACACAUGCAAGUCGAACGUCCUCUCCUCCGCAAGGGGGGGAGGCAGUGGCGGACGGGUGAGUAGCACAUGGGUGACCUGCCUUCCAGUGAGGAAUACCGGCGAGAAAUCGCCGACAAUGCCGCAUAGGCUCCCCCUGCCGCCUGGGGGGGGGAGCAAAGCUCCGCAAGGGGCGCUGGAAGAGGGGCCCGUGGCCGAUUAGCUGGUUGGUGGGGUAAGAGCCUACCAAGGCGACGAUCGGUAGCUGGUCUGAGAGGACGAUCGGCCACACUGGGAUUGAGAACGGCCCAGACUCCUACGGGGGGCAGCAGUGAGGAAUUUUCCGCAAUGGGCGCAAGCCUGACGGAGCAACGCCGCGUGCAGGACGACGGUCUUCGGAUUGUAAACUGCUUUUCCCAGGGACGAGCAAGGACGGUACCUGGGGAACAAGCCCCGGCUAACUACGUGCCAGCAGCCGCGGUAAUACGUAGGGGGCAAGCGUUGUCCGGAGUUACUGGGCGUAAAGCGCCCGCAGGCGGUCGGCCCAGUUUAUGGUGACAGCGCUCAGCUUAACUGAGCGAGGAC